ACUGUACAAAGGAUUACAGAGGCAACAAAGGACCUGGAGAAACUCACCGCUGAGCUAUCUCUACAGCAAGACACAGUCCAGCAGUGGGUGUCUGAUGUUCAGCAGUGGACCUCAGGUGUGGCGACGGCAGAGUGGCGCACCCGCUCUUCAUCCUCUCAUCACCUGCCGACUACAUAACACCGGUCUCUCCUCAUCUCUGAUGCCAGAUUAUCCAGUAUCUAAUGAACCCCAGCGUCACUCCGCUCCGCCGCCAGCCGGCCGCCUGCCUACCUGCUCGUCGACCCUCUACCGGCCCGCCGGCUCGGCCGAAUCCCGGGCGGUCCGUCCGCGGGCCCCGAUCACCCCUGGACCCCGCAUCGACCCAUCGCCUGCGCUUCAAUUCCUAAUAAACUCUUUUCCCCGCCAGCCCUGUCUCCGGUCUCUGCUUCUGGGUCCUCGCCUACUCAAAUCUAACAGUUGA
Molecule: long non-coding RNA, 460 nt
Filed under: Sparus aurata (gilthead seabream)
Lineage: Eukaryota; Metazoa; Chordata; Actinopteri; Spariformes; Sparidae
Description: lncRNA (ENSSAUG00010007384.1)
Source: RNAcentral